CCUGUGGUCCCACCCAGAGGCAUGAGGAAUGGUUCCCACACCCCUAUGAUUUCAUCCCCACCCAAUCAGUAGCACCAAUUCCCCAGCCCUCUGCCCACCAAAUUGUACAUAAAAACCCUAAGCUUCAAGCCUUUGGGGAGACUGACUUAAGUUAUAACUCCAGUUCUUCAGCAUGAACCAGCAUUGUGUCAAUUAAACUUUCUCUACUGUAAUGCUGUGGUCUCGGCGGACUGAUUUUGUCUGUGCAGCGGGAAGGAAGAAUCCAUCAGGCAAUUACAGUAUUCAGAUGGCAACACUUCAUCAUCUCAACUUCUUAAACAUCAGAAAGGGAAAAGUUUGGAAACAUCAAGAACAAUCUAAAAUCAGUUGCUUCCUAGAGUCAACGAAUCAAUAUAUCCAAAGACACAGAAUUCUUACCAGCCAGGACUUCCAAAUACUCAUUUAAGCCAAUAAAUGAUGGAACAAUGAAAGAAAGAGAAAGACUGCCAGAUCCAAAUAGGUAGUAAGAUAAUGAGAAUACAAAUUGCCAACAACCUUUCAUGGUAUGAGAAAGGUUACAAAUGAGACACUAAUAUCUGUUGACUAAGCCCCCAAAUAGACCAAUCCCAUCAACAGAAAUCUUGUAUCUUAAGAAGGUGUGCUUUCUUCAGUGAACCCGAGCAAUCGAGAAAAACAUAGUAUGUUUACGUUUGGCAAGAAGACCACAUUCAUUCACAAAAGUUUAAAUAUUUCACAUAGGUGGCUUCUAUACUAUCAUAUAACAUACAGUCUAAGACAUAACAGGAAAAAAGUUAACACAGAAGUAAAUUACAAAGCACCCCGCUUUGGGAUAUACUAAGGGAAGAAAACACUAUUGAUUCUGUUCAGACAGAAUUUAUGGGCAAAAGUUACUGUUGAGAACACAGCAUAAAACUCUUACUUUUCAAGAAGCACUUAGUGAACUACCCAUCUUAAAAAAAGAAAAUCUUGUCCUUUUUCUGUCCCCGUCAUUCUACUCAUUUUCAUUCUGGCAAAGUAUGCAAAAACAACAACUAUCAAAUAGGAGAUAGGAAUGCUCAGGGGUAAUAACUCAAUUCCAGUUGAAAAUAUAAAAAUAUGAAUCAAAUACGAAAUUUAGAAUAUGAAAAGAAUACACAAGUUAUGCCAAAGGUAAGAACUUUCAGAAAGUCUCAUUUGAUUUAUGUGCAUUUCAGAGUGACUGACAUCUGAGCAAAUGCUAAAGAAUUGAACUCAAUGCUCUAACAGAGCAAGAAGAACCCAACUCUCACCCCAAGACGUCCUUUUCCUUAACUGUUGUUUAUUUGUUGGAGGAAAGGGGAAGGUUUUGAAUGGUCUGUGCUCCUAAACAGUAUAGGAAGCCCACUUGCAGCCUGUAUGUUGGCCAACUCCAUCAACAGCCUUCUGCUUUAGAGAAUGUGUAAAGGGAGAUAUUUUAAAGGUAUAACUGAUCAAGUCAGUUUAAUAGACUGCAUACAACAUCAUGUCACAAUGUGAGGUGAUAGAGUGAACAGGGUCUCUUGGGCAUUGCUAGUGGAGUGCAACAUGGUACGAUGUCUACUGAGGUCAGGUUGACAACAUCUAUCAAAGUUACAAAUGUAUGUAAUAUUCCUGUACAAUGUGUAAACAUACAAUUUCA
RNAcentral lists this long non-coding RNA (1636 nucleotides) under Homo sapiens (human). RNAcentral's name for it is "HSALNT0161206". Lineage: Eukaryota; Metazoa; Chordata; Mammalia; Primates; Hominidae. The record is from RNAcentral.